This 27-nucleotide non-coding RNA is filed under the name Rattus norvegicus (Norway rat). Lineage: Eukaryota; Metazoa; Chordata; Mammalia; Rodentia; Muridae. The record is from RNAcentral.
UGCUUAGCAUAAUCUUUGGUUCCAUCC